RNAcentral lists this long non-coding RNA (262 nucleotides) under Chloebia gouldiae (Gouldian finch). RNAcentral's name for it is "Erythrura gouldiae (Gouldian finch) lncRNA (ENSEGOG00005002465.1)". The record is from RNAcentral. Lineage: Eukaryota; Metazoa; Chordata; Aves; Passeriformes; Passeridae.
GCCAGCGCCGCGUCCCGGCGCGGGCAGCGGAGCGGCGAGGGGCGGUGAGUGCGGCGGGCGGGCGCUCACGGCUCCGGGGCAGCGUCUGCCCUCCGCGGGCGCGGAGCCGCGCAGGGAGGAGGUCUCUUUGAGAGUAUCUGGAAGACAGUUGGGGACAAAUGUUAUGAAAGUCGCUUGAGAACAUGAUGCUGUGUUCUGGGAGCAGGUGAUUUUCUUAGUGCUACAUCUCUACUCUGCUUCUGAAGACCAAAGAGUUCCUCCA